AGCAGCCGCGGUAAUUCCAGCUCCAAUAGCGUAUAUUAAAGUUGCUGCAGUUAAAAAGCUCGUAGUUGAAUUUCGGGAUCAAUAUGUUGGUCGUGCCUCGGUACGUACUAGCUUAUUGGUUUCUCCCUUCUGACGAACCAUGAUGUCAUUUAUUUGGUGUUAUGGGAAAUCAGGACUGUUACUUUGAAAAAAUUAGAGUGUUUAAAGCAGGCUCACGCUUGAAUACAUUAGCAUGGAAUAAUGAAAUAGGACGUUUGAUUCUAUUUUGUUGGUUUCUAGGAUCGACGUAAUGAUUAAUAGGGAUAGUUGGGGGCAUUAGUAUUCAAUUGUCAGAGGUGAAAUUCUUGGAUUUAUUGAAGACUAACUACUGCGAAAGCAUUUGCCAAGGAUGUUUUCAUUAAUCAAGAACGAAAGUUAGGGGAUCGAAGACGAUCAGAUACCGUCGUAGUCUUAACCAUAAACUAUGCCGACUAGGGAUCGGAUGAUGUUAAUUUUUUUAAUGACUCAUUCGGCGCCUUAC
Molecule: small RNA, 520 nt
Filed under: uncultured Glomus
Lineage: Eukaryota; Fungi; Glomeromycota; Glomeromycetes; Glomerales; Glomeraceae
Description: SSU rRNA
Rfam family: Eukaryotic small subunit ribosomal RNA
Source: RNAcentral